Molecule: ribosomal RNA, 816 nt
Filed under: Streptomyces parvulus
Lineage: Bacteria; Bacillati; Actinomycetota; Actinomycetes; Kitasatosporales; Streptomycetaceae
Description: bacterial SSU rRNA
Rfam family: Bacterial small subunit ribosomal RNA
Source: RNAcentral
AACGAUGAACCACUUCGGUGGGGAUUAGUGGCGAACGGGUGAGUAACACGUGGGCAAUCUGCCCUGCACUCUGGGACAAGCCCUGGAAACGGGGUCUAAUACCGGAUACUGACCUUCACGGGCAUCUGUGAGGGUCGAAAGCUCCGGCGGUGCAGGAUGAGCCCGCGGCCUAUCAGCUUGUUGGUGAGGUAACGGCUCACCAAGGCGACGACGGGUAGCCGGCCUGAGAGGGCGACCGGCCACACUGGGACUGAGACACGGCCCAGACUCCUACGGGAGGCAGCAGUGGGGAAUAUUGCACAAUGGGCGAAAGCCUGAUGCAGCGACGCCGCGUGAGGGAUGACGGCCUUCGGGUUGUAAACCUCUUUCAGCAGGGAAGAAGCGAAAGUGACGGUACCUGCAGAAGAAGCGCCGGCUAACUACGUGCCAGCAGCCGCGGUAAUACGUAGGGCGCAAGCGUUGUCCGGAAUUAUUGGGCGUAAAGAGCUCGUAGGCGGCUUGUCACGUCGGUUGUGAAAGCCCGGGGCUUAACCCCGGGUCUGCAGUCGAUACGGGCAGGCUAGAGUUCGGUAGGGGAGAUCGGAAUUCCUGGUGUAGCGGUGAAAUGCGCAGAUAUCAGGAGGAACACCGGUGGCGAAGGCGGAUCUCUGGGCCGAUACUGACGCUGAGGAGCGAAAGCGUGGGGAGCGAACAGGAUUAGAUACCCUGGUAGUCCACGCCGUAAACGGUGGGCACUAGGUGUGGGCAACAUUCCACGUUGUCCGUGCCGCAGCUAACGCAUUAAGUGCCCCGCCUGGGGAGUACGGCCGCAAGGCU